Molecule: non-coding RNA, 1927 nt
Organism: Triticum urartu
Lineage: Eukaryota; Viridiplantae; Streptophyta; Magnoliopsida; Poales; Poaceae
Source: RefSeq, a predicted model, not a curated record
CCUCCCAUCUCAGCAAACAGGUUCUUCUUCUCUCAUCUUCAUCCUGCAGAUUCUCGAUCUGUCUUGCUUCGGAACCUCUUUUCCGUUCGUUCUUCGGGAUUUCUUCUCCCAUCUGGGUUUGAGCACGGACGUAGUUGCGAUGAGGAUAACAAGCUCCCUCUUCUGAAAGCAUUGACGACAUCGCUGGCAGAAUCGAACCAAUUAAAUAUUGCCAUCACUGAGCAACUCUGUAUCUUCGUACAAUCUUUGUUGCUGCUUACAUCUACAAGAUCUGUUUGGAUCGUGAGGAAGUAUUGAUGCAUAAUCCAACACUUGAUCCGAGGGCAGCUUGAGCCGCCCAUAUGACGUCAUCUUUGCAACUGAAUCCAUCAGAUAUGAGUUAUAUUUUUUCUUAUUUCGUUACUAUCAUGGGUUUACACCUUUGACACACUGCUUAAUUUCCUGUAAAUGAGGGCCAUCUUGUCUUCCAAGUUGGAUCUAUGAUUAGCUUUACGAUAUGUUUGUGGGUCUUCUGUAGUUUUUGCAUUGUUAAUUUCGUUCAUCUUAAAUCAUCCCUGUGAAGAUUCUCAGACCAUAGGAAGUGCCGUAUGACACUGUAAACAACAGCUGCUUCUCUCCACUGCAAAUGUCCUCCUUCGAGCAUAGCCUUUGUGGUUUGGUCUGGGCUGGAAUCUCCAUUUGCAGCUGGUUUGGUUCAGCUGUGUGUGAUUUUAAACGGGUCUCAGAGGGAUUCUCUUUAAUCUUGUUAGCAUUUUAUUUGGCCGGUCCAGAGUGCCUGUUAUUGUGAUGAAGUUUUCGUUACGAGUAGUUAAUCAGUUGUGAUCAAUAUGAUUUUAUUUUUUGGGGAUGUGUUAUGGCAAUGAUGAUAAAUUAAAGGCUUGUUUCUCAAAACAUUCGCAGCUGCCGCCUAAGAGCUUUCGCCCUGCCAGGCUUGAGAGUUAAUGCUGCUAAUUCCUUCCUUGGAUGUCUGAGCCUUAUGAAAUCCCCAAUUUAUUUUUAUUUUUAUUUUCUUUGUUGACUUCAUUUCUUGAUCUAUUUAUUCCGCCUUCUCUUCUUUGAUGCUUUAAUCUUGUUAAAUGUUGUUGUGUUUUGUUGGUUUAUCUGGGGAGCACUGUCCCAUGUCCGCCCACCGUUCUCUAGUUGGAUCCGAGUUUACAACGCUCCUAAGAGGUAUUCUGGUGGCGCUUCCAGCACAAAUCCGUCUAGAUGGAUCUUUGUUUCGCUCGCCCCCAAAUUCCAGUUUAAUCUCUACUGUUUUAUACUUUUUUUUCAUGUAUUAUAGUUCUAGUUAUUGUGGGAUUGAUUAUUUAGCAAUUUGAACCUUUGUUGGUGUGGUGAUUAUAAAACAUUCCUCGUGCUGACGGGAAAUCCCUGUGAACGACAACUAUACACCCAUAGAAUCUGAGCACCAACAAACAAUAUGUCCUUUGGUUUCAUUUGAUUCUUAAUUUUGUUUUCUGUUUAUUUCCCCUGACUUUCUUUUCGUUUGGACUUGAGACUAAAUGUUUAUCUGUAUCUGUUGAACUUUAAGAUAUGAAGCUUGUUUGACUUGAGGUGUGGUAAAUUCUCUAUUCGUAUUGCUGGUGGUUGCAAUUUGCAGUGAUUAUUGAACAUUAACCACUAGUCACCAGUUCAGAUAUAAACUCUGUAGUGGAGCCCCUGAAGUCCAGCCAUCUCUUGCUAGUUUGCGGGCCACCGUAUUACAAGACCUUGGACAGUAGUCCCGAACUAUCCAGCUCUUUUUCAGCGAGAGCAUUGCUCAGUUGCAAAGCAUCGGGUUCGAAUCAGGCACUCCUCCAUGAAAUGUAAUUUAGACUGUUGAAAUAGAGACGGUUUCAAUAGGGUUCGCUUAAUUUCUUUUUUAAAUGUAGCCUUCGCUUCUAAAAGAUUUUGUAAUUGCUGGUCAAUAGUGAAUCAUUGUGAAGCA